AUCCAGGAUUAGCUGAACUCAAUGUUAGGAAUAGAAGGAACUGAUUCUGGAACAUGAACUGUACUAGCAAUAAACUUUCUGUACUGGGAAUGUCCUAGAACUAGGCGAUCCUGAGGUUUUGGCCCUG
Non-coding RNA from Vicugna pacos (alpaca), 127 nucleotides. NCBI's taxonomy places the organism in Eukaryota, Metazoa, Chordata, Mammalia, Artiodactyla, Camelidae. The record is from RefSeq and is a predicted model, not a curated record.